UACUCCGUCUGAGCAAGGUGCAGGUGCACAAAUGAUAGAUAAAGAGUAGAAAAAAAAUGAGAAAAUGUAACAUGAAAAGAAAAAAAUGUGUUGUUCACUGUGUCAGCAUUUACACUUUAAUUUUCAAAAAGACUUGAGGAUGAGUGACUUGACCAUUUGGCUGCACUUCAUGAAAGCAGCCUGUUCUGUCUGAGCUGUGGAGGUGAACAGUCCAAGGCCAGUGGGAGUGAGAACAGUUUGGCUUAAACACAGCUGGAUGUUCCCACAAGCUAACCUGGGAGGACCUGCCUGAAAAAUAACCAUGUUUGUGUCCCUGCAUGAAAAAACCCUGACUUCGCUUCCGUGGGGGGAACAGAAGGCAGAUACGACACCUGGGACAGGAUGGAGGAAGUUAAAGAGAGCAAGAUCACCGCUAUGACAACUAUGUCAAGACAAGACCGGGGGGACGUGGACAGACUGCCAAAGCACACUGCCAGAGAUGGCACGCAUACCAAGGUCAGGACACAAAUCCUCAAGCGAAGGAAAGCCCGGUGCCAACCCCCUCCAGAAAGAAGCAAUGUAAACUUUUUCGACUCCCCUACAGAUUCCCUGCAUACCACAGACCCAUGGGCAGAUGUUAUGCAUUAUCGCAUCUCUCUGCAGUCUCUGUCCCGAACACUGAUCCAAUCCUCACAAGGUUGUUGUGGGUGCAAAGGAGGACUAUAGGAUGCAUGAGGGAUGAAUCAGCUCGGCCUUUCAUGUGACCGGGGGGAUUGCCUCGCAGCAGGCUGUCACAGUCACACACACAAACACACACACACACACACACACACACACACACACACACACACACACACACACACACACACACACACACACACACACACACACACACACACACACACACACACACACACACACACACACACACACACACACAGAGAGCAGCUACAAAUUAAUUCGCUCCAACAACAACCCCUGUCCUCGCCUGCUGCAACACGCUCUGCCAGCACUCGCAAUCAACCAGCGAAUUCCUUCCGCUCGGAGCAGUGAGCAGGAGGUGAGGGGACGGAGGGUUUGUGGGCUCACUGUUGUGAUUGUGAUGUUGUGUAAUUGACAGGUAGGUUUGAAUCCAGAGUCUGAUGCAAACAUCAACGCCGCCCAUUCCCCUUCUGGGGUUGGACAACGAGCAUGUUUGCUUCGAGGAACGUGAAAAAACAUGCCAAGAUGACAGGGCCAUUCAGAGAUGACAGGGUUAUUCUUUUGCUUAAACACACAUUGCAGAAAAUCAUUGAUACCAUGCAUGUGUGAACCAAAGACCAUAUGAUCCAAGAUGUUUCCAUCCAUUUGACUUAUCUGGUUCACUUAGAUGCUACAUUAAAAAAAAACAAGGGAACAACUUGGUGACCCCUGGAAUAAGCUGACUUUAAUUCAAAAUACUGAAACAAGACAAGUAGCUCUGCUUUAAGUCAGCAUGACAUUAUUUUGCUCCAUAAGCGAAGAAGAAAACCUGAUCAAAGCUGAGCAGCUGUCAGCCUCUCCUUUGUCUUUGCAGGAAUGAGGGGCAGAGCUGUGAGGCUUUACAAACAGCUGCCCUGCAGCCGGCUGCUGCUGCCUAGCAGACUGUCAGCUGUGCUUUCUCUUUCACUGUGCUAAGGGUGACAUAAAAUAUGGAUAUAUUUUUACUGCGGUGUCCUACAACCAUUGUUUUCAUUGACUUCUGAAUGAAAAAAAAAAUCUAUUGCGAGAGUCUUUCAUGCUCUGUGUUAAUUUAACCUUUAUCUGCUACACAAAGACAGCAAUCAUCAAGACAGGAAUGUUUUCUAAAGACAGAGACUCCUCUUUCCUCCUUCCUUCCUCUCUCUCUUUAUGAAAUGCCUUCAACAAGGCUGAAGUCCAUAAUUGAUUCUCUCUAUUAUGAGCAGACCUGUCCCCUGCACCUGGGGCCAACACGCUCCUCUGUAGUCUUAUCAGCCCUCGAGUAAACCAGCCCCUAAAAGUGGGGGCUGCUUUAAUCCGCAUCUUGCAGACACACAUACGCGCUCUCAUGGGAGUACCCCACAGCCGACAGUACACCAGACAGCGCCUUGAGCUGCCUGGCAGCAAUGUAAAACAGAGACAGAUGGAGAGGCAAAACCUGACACAAAAGUAGCUAAUCAAAGGCAAGUUAGGAACAGUGAGAAAUCAAGCGAGGCAUUUUAAACCUUCAGUUUAUAAAAAGGAGCAUUUUCCUAUAUGAAAAAAAAAAAACCCUAUAUGUGAAAUUAAAAGUAUUGAGAGCUUCCUGGAUCAUUUAAAAUCACAAGUGCAUCAUUUGCAAGACAUCACUUACCCUAACUGUAACACAAGGGAGUGAAGACAGACUUUGACAUGAUAUCAGUGUGACUCCAUGAACGAAGCUCUGCCACAUAACCAGAUUGGCAGCAGCACGCUCUCGCCUGACAGGAGGAGAGGUGACAGUGGAGACUGAAGAGGAGGACAGAGAGGAGGAGGAGGAGGAGGAGGAACAUGGUCAGAAUUCAAAGAAUCACAGAGAAAACAUACA
This is a long non-coding RNA of Labrus mixtus (cuckoo wrasse), 2524 nucleotides long. RefSeq lists it as uncharacterized. The transcript has 4 exons. The record is from RefSeq and is a predicted model, not a curated record. NCBI's taxonomy places the organism in Eukaryota, Metazoa, Chordata, Actinopteri, Labriformes, Labridae.